Molecule: ribosomal RNA, 465 nt
Filed under: Vreelandella stevensii
Lineage: Bacteria; Pseudomonadati; Pseudomonadota; Gammaproteobacteria; Oceanospirillales; Halomonadaceae
Description: partial 16S ribosomal RNA
Rfam family: Bacterial small subunit ribosomal RNA
Source: RNAcentral
CCUACGGGUCGCUGCAGUGGGGAAUAUUGGACAAUGGGCGAAAGCCUGAUCCAGCCAUGCCGCGUGUGUGAAGAAGGCCUUCGGGUUGUAAAGCACUUUCAGUGGGGAAGAAAGCCUUGGGGCUAAUACCCUCGAGGAAGGACAUCACCCACAGAAGAAGCACCGGCUAACUCCGUGCCAGCAGCCGCGGUAAUACGGAGGGUGCGAGCGUUAAUCGGAAUUACUGGGCGUAAAGCGCGCGUAGGCGGUCUGAUAAGCCGGUUGUGAAAGCCCCGGGCUCAACCUGGGAACGGCAUCCGGAACUGUCAGGCUAGAGUGCAGGAGAGGAAGGUAGAAUUCCCGGUGUAGUGGUGAAAUGCGUAGAGAUCGGGAGGAAUACCAGUGGCGAAGGCGGCCUUCUGGACUGACACUGACGCUGAGGUGCGAAAGCGUGGGUAGCAAACAGGAUUAGAUACCCCGGUAGUC